ACGGGUGAGUAACACGUAUCCAACCUGCCGUCUACUCUUGGACAGCCUUCUGAAAGGAAGAUUAAUACAAGAUGGCAUCAUGAGUCCACAUGUUCACAUGAUUAAAGGUAUUCCGGUAGACGAUGGGGAUGCGUUCCAUUAGAUAGUAGGCGGGGUAACGGCCCACCUAGUCUUCGAUGGAUAGGGGUUCUGAGAGGAAGGUCCCCCACAUUGGAACUGAGACGCGGUCCAA
Molecule: ribosomal RNA, 232 nt
Filed under: uncultured bacterium
Lineage: Bacteria
Description: partial 16S ribosomal RNA
Rfam family: Bacterial small subunit ribosomal RNA
Source: RNAcentral